GAUGAAGAACGUAGUGAAAUGCGAUAAGUAAUGUGAAUUGCAGAAUUCAGUGAAUCAUCGAAUCUUUGAACGCACCUUGCGCCCCUUGGUUAUUCCAAAGGGCAUGCCUGUUUGAGUAUCAUGAACACCUCAACUCUUGUGGUUUCCCACAAUGAGCUUGGACUGUGGAGGUUUUGUUGGCCUUGUGGUCAGCUCCUCUCAAAUGGAUCAGCUUACCGGUGUUUGGUGGCAUUACGGGUGUGAUAACUAUCUACGCUCGUGGUCGUCUCCAAAUAACCUCCAGUGAUGGAGGUUCGCUGGAGCUUAUAAAUGUCUCUCCCCAGUGAAGACAGCCUUUGAACGUUCGAUCUCAAAUCAGGUAGGACUACCCGCUGAACUUAAGCAUAUCAAUAAGCGGAGGA
This 401-nucleotide unclassified non-coding RNA is filed under the name soil metagenome. Its description in RNAcentral is "partial contains 5.8S ribosomal RNA, internal transcribed spacer 2, and large subunit ribosomal RNA". The stretch from base 1 to 121 matches the Rfam family "5.8S ribosomal RNA", at positions 35 to 154 of the family's 154-position model. The record is from RNAcentral.